This 253-nucleotide ribosomal RNA is filed under the name uncultured bacterium. RNAcentral describes it as "partial 16S ribosomal RNA". It matches the Rfam family "Bacterial small subunit ribosomal RNA", at positions 524 to 776 of the family's 1533-position model. The record is from RNAcentral.
UACGAAGGGGGCUAGCGUUGUUCGGAAUCACUGGGCGUAAAGGGCGCGUAGGCGGCUUUAUAAGUCGGGGGUGAAAGCCUGUGGCUCAACCACAGAAUUGCCUUCGAUACUGUAGAGCUUGAGACCGGAAGAGGUAAGUGGAACUGCGAGUGUAGAGGUGAAAUUCGUAGAUAUUCGCAAGAACACCAGUGGCGAAGGCGGCUUACUGGUCCGGCUCUGACGCUGAGGCGCGAAAGCGUGGGGAGCAAACAGG